Molecule: unclassified non-coding RNA, 203 nt
Filed under: Hevea brasiliensis (rubber tree)
Lineage: Eukaryota; Viridiplantae; Streptophyta; Magnoliopsida; Malpighiales; Euphorbiaceae
Source: RNAcentral
AGAACAUUGAGAUCAGUUUAGACUUUAGACUUAUGUUAUCUAGAUCGGCGUGCGGGGUGUUAAUCCUUUUCCACCGGAACACUCUCAAUUUCAAUUUAUUAUUGUUUGUGCCACUUUGAUGUCUAAAUUGAUGCUUCAGACGCAAUAAAUUUCAAUUGCACUUGCAAAGGAUACGCAGUUCAGUCAAAAGUUGAAGACCGCCG